AACGAACGCUGGCGGCAUGCCUAACACAUGCAAGUCGAACGAGACCUUCGGGUCUAGUGGCGCACGGGUGCGUAACGCGUGGGAACCUGCCCUUAGGUUCGGAAUAACUCCCCGAAAGGGGUGCUAAUACCGGAUAAUGUCUUCGGACCAAAGAUUUAUCGCCUUUGGAUGGGCCCGCGUUGGAUUAGCUAGUUGGUAGGGUAAAAGCCUACCAAGGCGACGAUCCAUAGCUGGUCUGAGAGGAUGAUCAGCCACACUGGGACUGAGACACGGCCCAGACUCCUACGGGAGGCAGCGGUGGGGAAUAUUGGACAAUGGGCGAGAGACUGAUCCAGCAAUGCCGCGUGAGUGAUGAAGGCCUUAGAGUUGUAAAGCUCUUUUACCCGCGAUGAUAAUGACAGUACCGGGAGAAUAAGCGCCGGCUAACUCCGUG
Molecule: ribosomal RNA, 433 nt
Filed under: uncultured bacterium
Lineage: Bacteria
Description: partial 16S ribosomal RNA
Rfam family: Bacterial small subunit ribosomal RNA
Source: RNAcentral